AUUGAACGCUGGCGGCAGGCUUAACACAUGCAAGUCGAGCGAGCGGCGGACGGGUGAGUUAUGUCUGGGAAACUGCCUGAUGGAGGGGGAUAACUACUGGAAACGGUAGCUAAUACCGCAUACCAUCAGAUGUGCCCAGAUGGGAUUAGCUAGUAGGUGGGGUAAUGGCUCACCUAGGCGACGAUCCCUAGCUGGUCUGAUAGGAUGACCAGCCACCCGGGAACGUAGCUGUGGUCCAGGCGCCUACGGUAGGCAGCAGUGGGGAAUAUUGACAAAUGGGCGCAAGCCUGAUGCAGCCCUGCCGCGUGUGUGAAGACGGCCUUAGGGUUGUAAAGCACUUUCAGCGAGGAGGCGUUACUCGCAGAAGAAGCACCGGCUAACUCCGUGCCAGCAGCGGGGGUGAUUC
Molecule: ribosomal RNA, 406 nt
Filed under: uncultured bacterium
Lineage: Bacteria
Description: partial 16S ribosomal RNA
Rfam family: Bacterial small subunit ribosomal RNA
Source: RNAcentral